CAGUCGCCACGGUAAUACGAAGGGGGCUAGCGUUGUUCGGAUUUACUGGGCGUAAAGCGCACGUAGGCGGACUUUUAAGUCAGGGGUGAAAUCCCGGGGCUCAACCCCGGAACUGCCUUUGAUACUGGGAGUCUUGAGUUCGAGAGGGGUGAGUGGAAUUGCGAGUGUAGAGGUGAAAUUCGUAGAUAUUCGCAGGAACACCAGUGGCGAAGGCGGCUCACUGGCUCGAUACUGACGCUGAGGUGCGAAAGCGUGGGGAGCAAACAGGAUUAGAUACCCCCGUAGUCCCUGUCUCUUAUAA
This 301-nucleotide ribosomal RNA is filed under the name uncultured bacterium. RNAcentral's name for it is "partial 16S ribosomal RNA". It matches the Rfam family "Bacterial small subunit ribosomal RNA", at positions 509 to 809 of the family's 1533-position model. The record is from RNAcentral.